UAUAAAACAAAUAAUGAAUGUUUUUAUUCGUGCAAUGGUAAGAAUAUUUUCAUUCGGUGAAAGAUGGAAUGUUCCAUUCAACUCGGCUGUCGCCUCGUUAAGGUUGAAUCACCUCAUGAAAAUAUUCUUACCAUUGCACGAAUAAAAACAUUCAUUAUUUGUAUAAUC
Molecule: microRNA precursor, 168 nt
Filed under: Paramuricea clavata
Lineage: Eukaryota; Metazoa; Cnidaria; Anthozoa; Malacalcyonacea; Plexauridae
Source: RNAcentral